AAAAAAAAGUGAUUUUAAAUCACUUAUUGCAUGUUGUUAUUGUUUAUUGCUCAUUUUAAUGAAGGGCAACUCUUAAGUUGACAACAGUUUAGGUUUUGUAUAAGAAUAUAUAAUAUGUUAGUAUAUAAUGAUACAAUAUACAUUAUAAACCUACCAUCGUUUCUUUUUUUUUUUUAAUGUUGCCUGCUCAUUAGGUUUAUUACCUUGUAACUACAUUUAUAGGCCAUUGUUUCCAGGUAUACUGUACCUACAAAGUGCACUUAUGGUAGAUAGACAACUACUAAGUGUAGCCUAUCUGUUGCUAUGCACAGUUUUUCAGCGCCCCUCUACCAUGUCCACCUCUGGGAGGAGAUCACCAUCUUCCUGCUCAAUCCCUUCCCUUAACACAACUUUCACCUGUCCAAGGUGGACAUUAUAAGGAUGCAGAAGGCAAAAGAUAUGGGAUGGACUGGCGAGAGGUGGACCUACUGUCCUACCGGCCAUAUCUACUGAAGAGACUCUGGCUCUAAUUUUCACAAACUGUCAUCUCCCAUUUUGACCAAAAAGGUUCCAAACUGCCCAGUGGAAAUAAAUGGUGCC
Long non-coding RNA from Ictalurus punctatus (channel catfish), 579 nucleotides. The record is from Ensembl. Lineage: Eukaryota; Metazoa; Chordata; Actinopteri; Siluriformes; Ictaluridae.